GGGAAUUCAAAGUUCACCCAAACGCGUCUGUAUAACGUACCUUGUUCAGCUCCUGCUCAUAGACUCGUCCUCCGCCUGUCUGUGUGGUCCCGGAGGGUCGUGGAAGGAAGUUUCCAAAAUUGAGGUGUGUAUCAGAAAAAAAAAAAAAAAAAAAAAAGAGUAGGAAGCAUCAGAAAAGCAAGGCUUAUCUGAAAAUAAAGUUGUUUUGGGGUGAGCCAAAAGCCUGUGUGUUCAAGGCCUGAUGUUCAAUGAAAUGCUCAAAGAGCUUAAUACAAUGCUCUAUACUGCAGCACCAUCCUGUGCAUGAGGAUGCGGGUUGAAAAAGAAGGAAGAAUGAGAGGACCAGUCAUCACAAGCUCCUGUGUCCAUGUCUUCCCAGCCAUGAUGGAGAUACCCUCGGAUGGUGAACCAAAAUAAAUCCCUUCUUUCCUGACUUCCUCCUGUCAGGGUGUUUCAUCACAGCAUCAUGACAAUAAAUCCCAAGCCACUCUCAAUAAAUCACUCUCAUGCCACAUCUUCUAAUGGAAGAGUCUACCCUACUUAAGAAUAACCUCUUUUGUUAUUUCAGUUUCCAAUGUCAUUUUUCUUCCUUUGCUUUCCUGCUCCAAAUUAAUCUGUGUCACCUCUUCUACUGCCUGUCCUCUGCU
RNAcentral lists this long non-coding RNA (647 nucleotides) under Mus caroli (Ryukyu mouse). RNAcentral's name for it is "hyaluronan synthase 2, opposite strand (MGP_CAROLIEiJ_G0013427.1)". The record is from RNAcentral. Lineage: Eukaryota; Metazoa; Chordata; Mammalia; Rodentia; Muridae.